RNAcentral lists this ribosomal RNA (655 nucleotides) under uncultured bacterium. Its description in RNAcentral is "bacterial SSU rRNA". It matches the Rfam family "Bacterial small subunit ribosomal RNA", at positions 561 to 1219 of the family's 1533-position model. The record is from RNAcentral.
UUAAGGGUCCGUAGGCGGGCCAAUAAGUCAGUGGUGAAAUCCUAUCGCUUAACGAUAGAAUGCCAUUGAAACUGUUGGUCUUGAAUUAUUUUGAAGUUGGCGGAAUGAGUAGUGUAGCGGUGAAAUGCAUAGAUAUUACUCAGAACACCGAUUGCGAAGGCAGCUGACUAAGAAUAUAUUGACGCUGAUGGACGAAAGCGUAGGUAGCGAACAGGAUUAGAUACCCUGGUAGUCUACGCAGUAAACGAUGGAUACUCGUUGUCGGGAAAAUUGAGACUCGGUGGCUAAGCGAAAGUGAUAAGUAUCCCACCUGGGGAGUACGAUUGCAAGAUUGAAACUCAAAGGAAUUGACGGGGGCCCGCACAAGCGGUGGAGCAUGUGGUUUAAUUCGAUGAUACGCGAGGAACCUUACCUGGGCUUAAAUGUAGAUUGACAGGACUGGAAACAGUUUUUCCUUCGGGCAAUUUACAAGGUGCUGCAUGGUUGUCGUCAGCUCGUGCCGUGAGGUGUCAGGUUAAGUCCUAUAACGAGCGCAACCCCUAUCGAUAGUUGCUAGCAGGUAAUGCUGAGGACUCUAUUGAGACUGCCGGUGCAAACCGUGAGGAAGGUGGGGAUGACGUCAAAUCAUCACGGGCCCUUACGUUCAGGGGCCCAC